GUGCUCACUCUGGCAGCACAUAUUCUAAAAUUGGAACAAUACAUAGAUUAGCAUGGCCCCUGCACAAGCAUGACACACAAAUUCAUGAGGUGUUCUAUAUUUAA
Jaculus jaculus (lesser Egyptian jerboa) is the source of this 104-nucleotide small nuclear RNA. Lineage: Eukaryota; Metazoa; Chordata; Mammalia; Rodentia; Dipodidae. The record is from Ensembl.